This 253-nucleotide ribosomal RNA is filed under the name uncultured bacterium. RNAcentral's name for it is "partial 16S ribosomal RNA". It matches the Rfam family "Bacterial small subunit ribosomal RNA", at positions 524 to 776 of the family's 1533-position model. The record is from RNAcentral.
UACAGAGGGUGCGAGCGUUGUCCGGAAUCACUGGGCGUAAAGGGCGCGUAGGUGGCCUGAUAAGUAGGGGGUGAAAUCUCGCGGCUCAACUGCGAGGCUGCCUCCUAAACUGUCGGGCUCGAGCAGAGUAGAGGCAGGUGGAAUUCCCGGUGUAGCGGGGGAAUGCGUAGAGAGCGGGAAGAACAUCGGUGGCGAAGGCGGCCUGCUGGGCUUUUGCUGACACUGAGGCGUGACAGCGUGGGGAGCAAACAGG